This 477-nucleotide ribosomal RNA is filed under the name Escherichia coli. RNAcentral describes it as "bacterial SSU rRNA". It matches the Rfam family "Bacterial small subunit ribosomal RNA", at positions 128 to 600 of the family's 1533-position model. The record is from RNAcentral. Lineage: Bacteria; Pseudomonadati; Pseudomonadota; Gammaproteobacteria; Enterobacterales; Enterobacteriaceae.
GCCUGAUGGAGGGGGAUAACUACUGGAAACGGUAGCUAAUACCGCAUAACGUCGCAAGACCAAAGAGGGGGACCUUCGGGCCUCUUGCCAUCGGAUGUGCCCAGAUGGGAUUAGCUAGUAGGUGGGGUAAAGGCUCACCUAGGCGACGAUCCCUAGCUGGUCUGAGAGGAUGACCAGCCACACUGGAACUGAGACACGGUCCAGACUCCUACGGGAGGCAGCAGUGGGGAAUAUUGCACAAUGGGCGCAAGCCUGAUGCAGCCAUGCCGCGUGUAUGAAGAAGGCCUUCGGGUUGUAAAGUACUUUCAGCGGGGAGGAAGGGAGUAAAGUUAAUACCUUUGCUCAUUGACGUUACCCGCAGAAGAAGCACCGGCUAACUCCGUGCCAGCAGCCGCGGUAAUACGGAGGGUGCAAGCGUUAAUCGGAAUUACUGGGCGUAAAGCGCACGCAGGCGGUUUGUUAAGUCAGAUGUGAAAU